AUUCAAGUAACUUAUAUAGAGUAUAAUAUUGAAGAUAUUAGGGAAAUUUAUUAAUUAAAUUCUUGAAUA
Molecule: transfer RNA, 69 nt
Filed under: Megalodontes spiraeae
Lineage: Eukaryota; Metazoa; Arthropoda; Insecta; Hymenoptera; Megalodontesidae
Description: tRNA-Phe
Source: RNAcentral